This 720-nucleotide ribosomal RNA is filed under the name uncultured rumen protozoa. Its description in RNAcentral is "bacterial SSU rRNA". It matches the Rfam family "Eukaryotic small subunit ribosomal RNA", at positions 61 to 879 of the family's 1831-position model. The record is from RNAcentral.
ACAGAAAAGUAAGAUAAAGCGCAGAGAUCGAGAGGAACUCGCGGUGCGUCUAGAUUAACUGGAAUGGCUCAUUAAACAGUUAUAGUUUAUUUGAUACAUUAAUGGAUAACUGUAGAAAACUAGAGCUAGUACAUGCCAAUGCCGUAAGGUUGUAUUUAUUAGAUAUUCCAAAUAAGAUGAAUCAUAAUAACUCCGCAAAUCUCGAUUUCAUCGAGAUAAAUCAUCCAAGUUUCUGCCCUAUCAGCUUUCGAUGGUAGUGUAUUGGACUACCAUGGCUCUCACGGGUAACAGGGAAUUAGGGUUUCGACUCAGGAGAAGGAGCCUGAGAAACGGCUACUACAUCUAAGGAAGGCAGCAGGCGCGUAAAUUACCCAAUCCUGACUCAGGGAGGUGGUGACAAGAUAUAAUAACCCUAUUAACGUAGUGAUUAUAGUGAGGAUAUUCCAAACAGAAUCACAAGAACGAUUAGAGGGCAAGUCUGGUGCCAGCAGCCGCGGUAAUUCCAGCUCUAAUAGCGUAUAUUAAAGUUGCUGCAGUUAGAGCUCGUAGUUGGAUUUCAGGAUUACAUAUCUAUGGAUGUGUACCUACUAGCUUUUCAGCUGUUACUGGUGGAGAAAAUAAAAUGGUUAAGCAGGUCCUUGCGAGAAAACAUUUAUACUGGAUAACGAAAGAGACUCAGAACCUCUGGUUAAUUCUCAAAUCCCGCAUAUUAAAGCGAGC